CAGUCACCGCGGGAAUACGUAGGUGGCAAGCGUUGUCCGGAAUUAUUGGGCGUAAAGCGCGCGCAGGUGGUUUAAUAAGUCUGAUGUGAAAGCCCACGGCUCAACCGUGGAGGGUCAUUGGAAACUGUUAAACUUGAGUGCAGGAGAGAAAAGUGGAAUUCCUAGUGUAGCGGUGAAAUGCGUAGAGAUUAGGAGGAACACCAGUGGCGAAGGCGGCUUUUUGGCCUGUAACUGACACUGAGGCGCGAAAGCGUGGGGAGCAAACAGGAUUAGAUACCCCCGUAGUCCCUGUCUCUUAUAC
RNAcentral lists this ribosomal RNA (301 nucleotides) under uncultured bacterium. RNAcentral's name for it is "partial 16S ribosomal RNA". It matches the Rfam family "Bacterial small subunit ribosomal RNA", at positions 509 to 807 of the family's 1533-position model. The record is from RNAcentral.